UACGAAGGGGGCUAGCGUUGCUCGGAAUCACUGGGCGUAAAGCGCACGUAGGCGGCUUUUUAAGUCAGGGGUGAAAUCCUGGAGCUCAACUCCAGAACUGCCUUGAUACUGGGAAGCUUGAGUCCGGAAGAGGUGAGUGGAACUCCGAGUGUAGAGGUGAAAUUCGUAGAUAUUCGGAAGAACACCAGUGGCGAAGGCGGCUCACUGGUCCGGUACUGACGCUGAGGUGCGAAAGCGUGGGGAGCAAACAGG
This 252-nucleotide ribosomal RNA is filed under the name uncultured bacterium. RNAcentral's name for it is "partial 16S ribosomal RNA". It matches the Rfam family "Bacterial small subunit ribosomal RNA", at positions 524 to 776 of the family's 1533-position model. The record is from RNAcentral.